AGUUCAAGAGUACGUGAAACUGCUUAGAGGUUAAGCCCGAUGAACCUGAAUAUCCAUUAUGGAAAAUUCAUCAUUAAUAAUAUGGUAUUUAUAAUAUUGUAGUAAUAGUGUGCAAUUUUUCCAUAUAAGGACAUUGUAAUCUGUUAAUGUAAUAAAUAUUUAUCAAAAGAUCCUUUACUUAAGUUUAUUCAAAUUAGUUAUUUUCGGAUUUCUAACAUAGAUUAAAUGUAUUGGAUUUGAUAAAUCAUUGACAGAUAUAAUUAUAUAAUGUGCUUAAAUUCUUUUGAAUUUUAUAAUGAUAGAUAAAUCUAUUGAUUUGUUUAUUUAAUUAUAUGCACUUUUAUGAUUAACAAUGCGAUAGAUUCAGGAUACCUUCGGGACCCGUCUUGAAACACGGACCAAGGAGUCUAACAUAUGUGCAAGUCAUUGGGUAUUUUUAAUAAAACCCAAUGGCAUAAUUAACUUAACUGUUAUUAAUAAUGGGAUUAGUUUAUGUUUUGUUAUGAAAUAUGAAUUCAAUCCCGGGGCGUUCUAUACAGUUAUGUAUAAUGAUAUUUAUAUUAUUUAUGCCUCUAACUAGAGCGUACCUUGAGCAUAUAUGCUGUGACCCGAAAGAUGG
This 619-nucleotide ribosomal RNA is filed under the name Melangyna collata. RNAcentral's name for it is "partial 28S ribosomal RNA". It matches the Rfam family "Eukaryotic large subunit ribosomal RNA", at positions 386 to 826 of the family's 3401-position model. Lineage: Eukaryota; Metazoa; Arthropoda; Insecta; Diptera; Syrphidae. The record is from RNAcentral.